Pteropus alecto (black flying fox) is the source of this 2289-nucleotide RNA transcript. RefSeq lists it as uncharacterized. The record is from RefSeq and is a predicted model, not a curated record. The transcript has 4 exons. NCBI's taxonomy places the organism in Eukaryota, Metazoa, Chordata, Mammalia, Chiroptera, Pteropodidae.
UGCUCCCUGCAAGAGAGGCCAUAGCCAUGAACAUCCUUCAGAUCCCAGUUCCUAGAAGCCCAGAGAGCACCCAGGAAUGAGUCAGGGCUAUUCCACAGGGACAACCUGUCAGGUCUGAGCGAAAUAAGUCAGAUCUGAAGUGCUACCCAAAUGCUCCAAUCCUAACUGCCACGCAUCAAUUGCUUGUUUAUUGCCUAUUUCCUCACUAGAUGGUAAGCUGUCUUUGUUUUCUGCUGAAUCUUGAGUGCCCAACACACUGAUGAUUAAAAUGACUGCAACUGAGUGAAUGUCAGACUUAAUUACUAACAUGACACUUCCGGAGCAACUACUGUGUGCGAGGCACAGGGAGGCUCGUGGUGGGGAUGCAGAGGAGUGAGAGACAUAGUAGCCACCCUGGAAGAGCUGUCUAGGAGUGGGGACAGGAAGCAGUAAUGUCAGCUGUGAUGGGGUAAGCACAGGCUAGCCUGAGGGUUCAGGGAAGACAACCCCAGGGUUGAGUCUCAUUAAAAAGUCAGUCUAAAACAAAAAAGACAGGAAGACUGCUAUAGACUAAAAGACUACAGAUGCAUGAAGCCUAACAACACUGGAUUCAUUUUUUUUAAGUUAUGAAAAGUGUAGACAAUUAGGAAAAAAAAUUUAAUGUAGUAUGUCUAUUACAUGAUAUUGUGAUGAUUUUUAAUUUUCUUAGGUAUGAUAAUGGUAUGGUGGCUAUGUAAGAGAAUGUCCUUAUUCUGAAGGGACAGGUGCUGAAGGACCUAGAGGUAAAGGAUGUCAGGAUGUCUGGAACUUCCUUUCACAUGGUUCAGGAAAAAAACUGUGUUUGUACAGACAGAACAGGAGCCAGAAGAGAUGAAAGCAAAUGUGACAAAGGUCAACCUUUGCAGCAGCAUAUAUUAGAGAAAAAGAAAUGCGAACACACAACACAUACCAUCCACAAUCAGCUGGGUGGCCACAUUCUCCAGUUCCUGUGACUCUACUUAUUAUGGACAGCCCAGGGGGCACACCCCUCCCUUUGGCCCAACUCCAGCUCCAGACCGUCUUCAUCAAGGUCGGCUUAAAGAGUCCCAGGUCCAAAAGCACAACCAGACCAGAAGUGAUUCCUGCUUUGCUUAGACCGUCUUUGGAAUCAUUGAUGUGGAACCCCAGAUUUACAAAAGAGCUGCCCUCCUUCCAUGGGUCCUCUGGAAUGCCCACCUCAUCGCACCAAGUCAGGAAAUCAGAUUCCGUCAGACUGCAGGCUCCAUCCUGGUGGUCUCUGUAAUUAGGCUUUAACGAAACUGUUGGGCUGGAAUAGUGGACUAUAAUUGGCAGCCCUGCCAGGGUCAUGGGAUGGAGGGGUAACGUUUCCCAAAGGAAAGGGGACCGCUGUCAUCAGGAAAAGGUGAAAGUGUUGGGCAUCCAGACGCAGGAGAUAGCUCUUGGAGUGGUGCUCAGUUAUUUCUAAUUAUUAUUAAUGAAGCCAUGUUUUUAGAGAGACUAAGCAAAUAUCUUACAAAAUUAUAGAUCAUUGUAAUAAUGAUUGAAUAUUUGCUGUGUGUCAGGCACUGUUUGUUUAUAACCUCAUUUCAUUUUUUUUUUUUUUGAGAAUUUUUAUGAGUUUGAGCCAAGCUGACAACAUAUGCAAGGAGCAAGAUCUCAGAUCCUCCCAUCAUUUCAUUCUUAAAGUGACCUCACACCUAUUUUAUAAGUCUCUGCAAUUUCUAGGACAUGCUCUCUAUGCAUGGAGAAUCAUCCAGCAUGGGAAUGUUGGAGGCAGGUUGCUCCCAGCUCUGGAUACCACCUCAGUGACUCUGCUGGCCUGGCAGCUGUCCCCUGGAUCCCUCUUGAUCUUCGUGGGGACAUAUGAAGUCAGAAGAUCCAACUCACUCUGCUUUAGGACUCAUACUCUACUUUGGCGGCAAUAAUGAGAAUAACAACCAUUAAAACCACUCGUUAGCCAUUUUACUACAGGCAGGAACUGUACAAAGAGCUUUGCGUGUAUUAUCUCAUUUAAUUAGUAGAGCAGCCCUGUGAGAUUGUACAUGAUUCCUUAUUUGACAAAUGGAACAGAGGCCCAGGGAUGUUCUUCGUUAAGGUCACACAGUUAAUGAAUGACAGAGCCAGGACUUGAACUUGAGGCUGUCUAGAGUUCAUGUGUUCAACCACAAAGCUACACUGCUUGACUGACCUGCAACCAUCUGUAAAUGCGGCCUCUGAUUAUAUUUUUGUACUUGUUUAUUUAUGUACUUGUUCAUAUGUAAAUAUAUUUUUAAUGAAUUAAUGAAGAAAGCACUCAGCAUCGGGCCUGGC